CCUACGGGAGGCAGCAGUGGGGAAUAUUGCACAAUGGGGGAAACCCUGAUGCAGCGACGCCGCGUGAGUGAAGAAGUAAUUCGUUAUGUAAAGCUCUAUCAGCAGGGAAGAAAAUGACGGUACCUGAGUAAGAAGCCCCGGCUAACUACGUGCCAGCAGCCGCGGUAAUACGUAGGGGGAAAGCGUUCUCCGGAUUUACUGGGUGGAAAGGGAGCGUGGACGGCAGUGCAAGUCUGGAGUGAAAGGCGGGGGCUCAACCCCCGGACGGAUCUGGAAACUGUACGGCUGGAGUGCAGGAGAGGUAAGUGGAAUUCCAAGUGUAGCGGUGAAAUGCGUAGAGAUUAGGAGGAACACCAGUGGCGAAGGCGGCUUACUGGACUGUAACUGACGUUGAGGCUCGAAAGCGUGGGGAGCAAACAGGAUUAGAUACCCUGGUAGUC
Molecule: ribosomal RNA, 440 nt
Filed under: uncultured bacterium
Lineage: Bacteria
Description: partial 16S ribosomal RNA
Rfam family: Bacterial small subunit ribosomal RNA
Source: RNAcentral